This 64-nucleotide transfer RNA is filed under the name Nepiomorpha sp. NespEL. RNAcentral describes it as "tRNA-Gln". The record is from RNAcentral. Lineage: Eukaryota; Metazoa; Arthropoda; Insecta; Psocodea; Elipsocidae.
UACAUUAAGGUGUUUGGCACGAUAGAUUUUGAUUCUAUAGGAGUAUUUAGUUUACAUAAUGUAA